ACGUAGGGGGCAAGCGUUAUCCGGAUUUACUGGGUGUAAAGGGAGCGUAGACGGUCAAGCAAGUCAGAAGUGAAAGGCUGGGGCUCAACCCCGGGACUGCUUUUGAAACUGUUUGACUGGAGUGCUGGAGAGGUAAGCGGAAUUCCUAGUGUAGCGGUGAAAUGCGUAGAUAUUAGGAGGAACACCAGUGGCGAAGGCGGCUUACUGGACAGUAACUGACGUUGAGGCUCGAAAGCGUGGGGAGCAAACAG
RNAcentral lists this ribosomal RNA (251 nucleotides) under uncultured bacterium. RNAcentral describes it as "partial 16S ribosomal RNA". It matches the Rfam family "Bacterial small subunit ribosomal RNA", at positions 525 to 775 of the family's 1533-position model. The record is from RNAcentral.